UUGUCUUGUAAUUGGAAUGAUGGUGACCCAAACCCUCACCAGAGUAGCAAUUGGAGGGCAAGUCUGGUGCCAGCAGCCGCGGUAAUUCCAGCUCCAAUAGCGUAUAUUAAACUUGUUGCAGUUAAAAAGCUCGUAGUUGUAUUUUUGCGUUGACGGUUUGACCAUUUGGUUGGUUAUUUCGUUUUCGCUUUUGGGAAUUUCCCUUUUUACUUUGAGAAAAUUAGAGUGUUUCAAGCAGACUUUUGUCUUGAAUACUUCAGCAUGGAAUAAUAGAGUAGGACUUUGGUUCUAUUUUGUUGGUUAU
Molecule: ribosomal RNA, 304 nt
Filed under: Babesia canis canis
Lineage: Eukaryota; Apicomplexa; Aconoidasida; Piroplasmida; Babesiidae
Description: SSU rRNA
Rfam family: Eukaryotic small subunit ribosomal RNA
Source: RNAcentral